Molecule: ribosomal RNA, 253 nt
Filed under: uncultured bacterium
Lineage: Bacteria
Description: partial 16S ribosomal RNA
Rfam family: Bacterial small subunit ribosomal RNA
Source: RNAcentral
UACGUAGGCAGCGAGCGUUGUUCGGAAUUACUGGGCGUAAAGCGUGCGCAGGCGGUGAUGUAAGACAGUUGUGAAAUCCCCGGGCUCAACCUGGGAACUGCAUCUGUGACUGCAUCGCUGGAGUGCGGCAGAGGGGGAUGGAAUUCCGCGUGUAGCAGUGAAAUGCGUAGAUAUGCGGAGGAACACCGAUGGCGAAGGCAAUCCCCUGGGCCUGCACUGACGCUCAUGCACGAAAGCGUGGGGAGCAAGCAGG